Non-coding RNA from Pocillopora verrucosa, 343 nucleotides. Lineage: Eukaryota; Metazoa; Cnidaria; Anthozoa; Scleractinia; Pocilloporidae. The record is from RefSeq and is a predicted model, not a curated record.
CUUAAAGUUAGAGACUUAAAUUUGGUAUCAGCUACAUCUUAAUUAAAAAUGUUCUUACUUAACAACAGAGGAACCAACAACAAGGUGCAGCAAGGCCAACAUUUCAACCUACAGAAAGAAAAGACAGAGAAUUAAGCCUCCCCGAAAAUGAUAUGGCCGAAGAAAUACGCAAUUUGCGAGAAAAUCGGAUGAGAAAAGGACCAAAAGAUGGUGUAAAGAUUAAAGUUUACACGCCCAGUGGUUUGUUCAAAAGAACGUUUCACAGAGGAGGUUGCUAUCAAGAGGUGUAUGACUGGCUUGGGAGUAGCCAGAUGCAGCCAUUGUUCUUUUUCCUGGAGACACA